Molecule: unclassified non-coding RNA, 1000 nt
Filed under: Hevea brasiliensis (rubber tree)
Lineage: Eukaryota; Viridiplantae; Streptophyta; Magnoliopsida; Malpighiales; Euphorbiaceae
Source: RNAcentral
GCAUAUUAUAAACAUCAAAACACGACAUCACCUGUAAAUCAAAACAAUAAAUCCAACAUAUCGAGUAAUGGGACAUGGAAUAUGAGGUAGAUAGAACAGUGUGACUAUCACUAGCAAUAAAAGACAAAUCUACAUAGGCAAAGAAAACCUAAAUCAUGAUAUUCUCAAGUCGAGAUCAUUUAGCGAGAUAUAUGAAUAAUCGAACUGUACAACUGAAUACAGAACAAAAAUUUUUCAUGAAUAAUUGCUAGCAAAUCACUUUUCUUAUGAAUAUUAUUACACAUCACUGCUUACACCAGGUUUGAUGAGCACAUACAGAUCAACUACUCUGUUAAAUCAUCACUGAGAAAAUCAAGACCAUCAUCAUCAGUGGUUACUCCUCCAGCAGCAGGAUUAACUUCCAAACGUUCAACUAAACCAUCCAAUGACACCAUUUCUGCAGGUCUCUUUGCUUCAUGGUUUUGCUCAUCAAUUUCAUCUCCAUAAAAUUGUUCCAUCUCACCACAAGGGAUCUCCUCAUUUUCUUGUAUGGCUUGUUUCUCUGCCUCUACAAGCCAGUCACCUAGUAUGCUUUCCAUCAUGAAACUGUCAAAGGAGAUCAAAUCACCAGACUUUCUUUCCAAUUGCUGUUCUCGUAAUCGCAAAUUGUAGUGAAUAUAGGCAAGCUCAUUCCAUCUCUUUUGAGACAGACAGUUGUGUCUUUUGCUGUGAACUUGGUCAUAUGUACUCCAAGUAUGUUCACAUCCAAGGGAUGAACAUGUCUGGCUCAGUAUGCGUAUAGCAAUUAGUUGAAGCUCCAAGCAACUUAUUCCAUGCUGUUGCCACCAAGCAGCUGGAUCAAGCUCUAUUCUAGUACUCAAGGCCAAAUCAGUUCCGAAAUCACCUUUAGCAGAUACAAAAUCAGGAAUCUGCGCGGAUGCAGAAAUUCUUUUUCCGUUGUCAACUUCCAGCCGCACAAUGCAUUCAUUUAAACCACGAAUAACCUCAGGAUUCAUUAUGA